UACGUAGGACGCAAGCGUCAUCCGGAUUUAUUGGGUUUAAAGGGUGCGUAGGCGGACCCAUAAGUCAGUGGUGAAAUACUGUCGCUCAACGAUAGCAUUGCCAUUGAUACUGUGGGUCUUGAGUAUAAUUGAGGUAGGCGGAAUGUGUAGUGUAGCGGUGAAAUGCUUAGAUAUUACACAGAACACCGAUUGUGAAGGCAGCUUACUAAGUUAAAACUGACGCUGAGGCACGAAAGCGUGGGGAUCAAACAGG
RNAcentral lists this ribosomal RNA (253 nucleotides) under uncultured bacterium. RNAcentral describes it as "partial 16S ribosomal RNA". It matches the Rfam family "Bacterial small subunit ribosomal RNA", at positions 524 to 776 of the family's 1533-position model. The record is from RNAcentral.